AUUGAACGCUGGCGGCAUGCUUUACACAUGCAAGUCGAACGGUAACAGGCGUUCUUGCGCUGAGGAGUGAGUGACGGGCGGGUGAUUAAUCCGUAGGUACCCGGCGGGGGGGGGGGACUAAGCGGGAGAUGGGCGGAUUCCUACCGCGUUCGGUGGAUGAAUGCGGGGGAGGGAGCAGCAGGCUUUGCCCUCUCGGGUUGGGCGAUGGCGGAUUAGCUAGUUGGUGGGGUAAAGGCCUACCAAGGCGACGAUCAGUAGCUGGUCUGAGAGGACGACCAGCCACACUGGGACUGAGACACGGCCCAGACUCCUACGGGAGGCAGCAGUGGGGAAUUUUGGACAAUGGGCGCAAGCCUGAUCCAGCAAUGCCGCGUGUGUGAAGAAGGCCUUCGGGUUGUAAACCGCUUUUGGCAGGAACGAAACCGUGUCCGCUAAUACGGGGGGCUAAUGACGGUACCUGAAGAAUAAGCACCGGCUAACUACGUG
Molecule: ribosomal RNA, 486 nt
Filed under: uncultured bacterium
Lineage: Bacteria
Description: partial 16S ribosomal RNA
Rfam family: Bacterial small subunit ribosomal RNA
Source: RNAcentral